Molecule: ribosomal RNA, 587 nt
Filed under: Couepia magnoliifolia
Lineage: Eukaryota; Viridiplantae; Streptophyta; Magnoliopsida; Malpighiales; Chrysobalanaceae
Description: eukaryotic LSU rRNA
Rfam family: 5.8S ribosomal RNA (bases 230-385)
Source: RNAcentral
GUGAACCUGCGGAAGGAUCAUUGUCGAAACCUUGCCCAAAAGAACGACCCGCGAACCAGUUGCGCGAAUACGAGGGGAUCACGGGGGGCCACGGCCCCUUCAUCUCCUCGAAACGACAACUAAACCCCCGGCGUGAGUCGCGCCAAGGAAAUCAAACCAGAAGGUCACCGUCCCAGUCCCAGGAAGGGGGCCAUGGGGCGGCGACCCUUUGCGUCGAACGAGCGAAAACGACUCUCGGCAACGGAUAUCUCGGCUCUCGCAUCGAUGAAGAACGUAGCGAAAUGCGAUACUUGGUGUGAAUUGCAGAAUCCCGGGAACCAUCGAGUCUUUGAACGCAAGUUGCGCCCGAAGCCUUUAGGCCGGGGGCACGUCUGCCUGGGUGUCACGCACAGUCGCCCCAAACCCACCUCCACUGGAGGGAGUUACGGGGCGGAUGUUGGCCUCCCGUUAGCCGCGGCUCGUGGUUGGCCCAAAUUGGCAGUCCUUGGAGGAGGACGCCACGACGAUCGGUGGUUUUGGCCCUCGGACUCGGUCGUGCGCGAACUACCCCCCACACGGAUCCAAAAUGUGUUCGUUGCGAGCACUGC